Molecule: ribosomal RNA, 332 nt
Filed under: uncultured bacterium
Lineage: Bacteria
Description: bacterial SSU rRNA
Rfam family: Bacterial small subunit ribosomal RNA
Source: RNAcentral
AAUCAACGCUGGCGGCGUGCCUAACACAUGCAAGUCGCGCGCGAAAGGGGGGCAACCCCGACGUAAAGCGGCGAACGGGUGAGUAACACGUGGGUAAUCUACCUUCGAGUGGGGAACGAACAUCGGGAAACUGGUGCUAAUUCCGCAUGACAUCGUCGGGGCUUCGGUUCCGACGCUCAAAGCUGGGGAUCGUAAGACCUAGCGCUUGAAGAUGAGCCCGCGUCCGAUUAGCUAGUUGGCGGGGAAUAGCCCACCAAGGCUCCGAUCGGUAGCCGGCCUGAGAGGGCGGACGGCCACACUGGAACUGAGACACGGUCCAGACUCCUACGGGA